Long non-coding RNA from Chiroxiphia lanceolata (lance-tailed manakin), 1263 nucleotides. RefSeq lists it as uncharacterized. The record is from RefSeq and is a predicted model, not a curated record. The transcript has 3 exons. NCBI's taxonomy places the organism in Eukaryota, Metazoa, Chordata, Aves, Passeriformes, Pipridae.
GACCUGUGACCUGGGAACCCCCAGGCUGUUAGAACUGAACUCAGACACGUCACCCCCAAGAAAGCCACAGCUCCAUCACUGCACUAUGGACAUGGCUGUAAAUAAUCCCUGCUCAAUAAAUCAGAGUGACAAAUGACUGCUCUUCUCUCUCACUGAUGCCCACCAUCAUCCAUGUAUUAUCUCAUCACUCUCUUUUCUUGCUGUUGUGCUUUCCUGCCAAGAGCUGCUGGGGUUUUUUCUGCUGUUCCAGGGGAAAGCCUUCAGGGAUAGUGCUCCCUUCCCCACACAGAGGUGCCCACAGCCAGAUGCAGCAGGGCACAGACUGAGCCUGGGGAGGAGACCAGCCAAGGCAGAUCUCUUCAGACAGGCAACUGACCUUCUUGGCAGCUCCAGCCUGAAGAGAACCAAGUGGAGAGGCCAGGGAUACCAUGCAAGAUCUUUCCUCAGCAAAUAUGGGGUGCUGCUUGGCUGAUGGAAAGAUCCCUUUAAGGAAAAGUGGUGUAACUCUCCUGAUGUAAUCAUUACAUAAGGAUUUCAUCAAAAUGAUAAAGGCGUCAGUAAACAGAGAAUACCCCUGACAGGUCAGAAGUGAUAACAUUUUCCUGACGCAGCACAUAAAUUGCCAAAUCUUCCACUUUCCUCCUGGCCUGGGUGCUGCCAACCCCUGAUGAUCUGGUGUUGUGCUUGCUGGCUCCUGAGAGCCAACAGGUCUGCAAUGGCUGGACUGUGAACCUGGACAAGUGGAAGGACACAGGGCUCUGUGGAGUGGGCCAGCAAAGCAGGUUGCUCACAGCCCUCCAGGCCCAGGAGAUUGGGAGGGGGUGGGCUGCUUUGGAAAUAAACCCUCCACACAUCAGACCUCGCCUGAAGAAGCAGCUUCUCCCUGUGCCUGCUCCAAAAUGGUCCCCUCUCAUGUGCCCUGCAGACAAGCCUUCAGCUGUCUGGGUCUUCCUGGAAGUCCAUACAAACAGGAUUCAACAGCCACACUAAAACCUCAUCCAAGGAUGGGAGUACCCUGAGGGAUAGAACAAAUAUGAUACGACUUGAAAGAGACAAAAUUCAGAUAAGAUGCAGGAAAACCAGACAUGACUCCUCACUUAACUCUUUAGAACUCGCUAGUGGUGGGUGACACUUGUGCAGGAGAAGAGUAAGUUUUAACAGAAGGUUGUCCAGACCAACUUUGAAAAAAGCUUUUCUGAAUCUCUACCUGCAAAUAAAUAAUUCAAAAAGAAACCCUAAAAGUAAAAAAUAAAGAAAGGCUUA